AAUUAAAAAAAAAAAAAAACUAUAAGUAGAACUAGUAAGUUGUUCAUUUAAGAUUUCGUUUGGUUCGGGAUUAAGUAAAAACUAGUUAUUUCAAAGAUAGUAUUAAGUUCAGGAUUAAGGUAGGAGUAGAGUAAUUUUGUGUUUGGUUAAGAAUUGAGUUUAGUUCAGAUAUAAGUAAAAUAGUGUUUGGUUGAAGUAGGUGGAAUAAAAAGAAUCGUGGGUUGUUAUAAAUAGAAAAUAACGAUUUUAAGAUUACAAAUUAAAUAUUUUAAAAUUUUCAAAUAUCAAAUAUCAAAUUUAAAAUUUAAAUACUUUAAAUUUAAAUUUUAAUUUAAAUUUUAAAAAUAUUAAUAUUAAUUUUAAGAUUACAAAUUAUAAAUUUUUAAAAUUUUUUAUUUAAAUUAAAAUUUCAAAAUUAUAAUAAAAAUUAAAUUGGCGUGGAAUUAACUUUAAUCCUACCCCUAUUUUUGGGGGGAGGUAAAAUCAUGUUUGGGGUUAAAGGGUGGGGGGAUAACCCCCUUAUCUCCUCCUUUAACCCUAAACAAUAUAUUAAGAUUUCUAAUAUUUGAAUCUGAUUAUUUUUGCAGCAAUGGUGCAGACAUAAUUAUUUGGACAAAAUAUUGGUUAUUUGUUAUUGACUGAAAACAGAUCUAUUUUUUUUUUUUCUGUCAUAAUAGGCAGUUCAUAAUAAAUCUAACGGCAAGAAACUCAACAAUAAAUCUAAUGUACAAGUGAGUUGAGUCAUAUCGAGAUCCGUGACAGCCGUGUCCGAGCCAUUAAGUGAGAUGAGCGUACUCUUUCUAUCAGCACGUAAUUUUUUAAUAAUUAAUUGAUUAACAUUUAUGAUCCAAGUAAAGGACUAUGGAGAAAUUUUCCUUUCAUUAAUUUUGAAAAUAAUAUGUCCUUCCUUCUUUGAUGUGAUCAGUCCCUAUCCUGCUUAAUGACAUGUCCUUUUUUUUCAAUUAAUUUUUUGGGAAAACUUCAAAAACCCCCUUGUGGUUUCGCAGUUUCUUACUUUGCCCCCCUGUGAUUUAAAAUGUAUCAAUUUGCCCCCCUGUGAUUUUUUUUUCUCUUUUUCUUAUCAAUUUCAUUAUUUUGUUUUCUUAAAUCAGUGAUAAAGUUAAAAUUAAAGGAUACUAAAGUGAAUAUUUGAUAAAUCUAGAUGGGUAUCUAAAGUUUUUUGUAUAUAAUUUAAUGAAAUAUUAACGAAAAAACUAUCGAAAAGAUGAAAACGAAACUACAGGGAGGCAAAUUGAUAUAUUUUAAACCACAGGGAGGCAAAGUAAAAAACUACGAAACCACAGGGAGGUUUUUGAAGUUUUUUCUAAUUUCUUUACUUCUGAU
Molecule: long non-coding RNA, 1344 nt
Filed under: Ananas comosus (pineapple)
Lineage: Eukaryota; Viridiplantae; Streptophyta; Magnoliopsida; Poales; Bromeliaceae
Description: long non-coding RNA (ACOM_LNC028712)
Source: RNAcentral